CCUCUUCCUCUUUCUUCCACCGAACCCCGCUGCAUUAAUUCCUUCACGAAAUCCCCCCCCCGCCUCGAUUCCGGAGAUCUCUCUCCCCCCUCUCCUCCGAUCCGGCGCCCCCUCCCGCUUCGCCGGCGAGCAGCAGCGCCCCGCGGGCGGCGGGCCACUGAAUUGGAUUGGAUGUCUCGGGGGCGGUCGCUCGAUCGGGGGGGAGGUUGGCGAGGUGGUUCGGGGGUUCAGGUUUAGCGCGCGCCGCCGCCGAGGCUGAGGCGCUGAUGCGCGGCGGCGGCGGG
This 284-nucleotide long non-coding RNA is filed under the name Oryza brachyantha (malo sina). RNAcentral describes it as "long non-coding RNA (OBRA_LNC002926)". The record is from RNAcentral. Lineage: Eukaryota; Viridiplantae; Streptophyta; Magnoliopsida; Poales; Poaceae.